UACGGAGGGUGCAAGCGUUAAUCGGAAUUACUGGGCGUAAAGCGCACGCAGGUGGCUGAGUCAGUCGAUUGUGAAAGCCCUGGGCUUAACCUGGGAAUUGCAGUCGAUACUACUCAGCUAGAGUAUGGGAGAGGGCAGUGGAAUUCCCGGUGUAGCGGUGAAAUGCGUAGAUAUCAGGAGGAACACCGGUGGUGUAGACGGCUCUCUGGACCGUAACUGACGCUGAGACACGAAAGCGUGGGUAGCAAACAGG
This 253-nucleotide ribosomal RNA is filed under the name uncultured bacterium. RNAcentral's name for it is "partial 16S ribosomal RNA". It matches the Rfam family "Bacterial small subunit ribosomal RNA", at positions 524 to 776 of the family's 1533-position model. The record is from RNAcentral.